GAUGCCUUCUCAAAAGGGUUCCAUAAUUCCCUCAGCUUUAUUCGACUUAAAUAAUGCCCUACACUGACCCGAGAAUGCGACCGUCAACCAAACACCUCGAUCGUGGUGGGUUAACUUAAUUACGAUCGAACUCUGUCAAAUAUUUUUGAUCGCAGAGAACGUGCGAAGAAACUAUCAGAAAAUUGAGUUGCAUAUGAUCGAUCGUGACUUAUUCAUGGAAGAUUCAAACUCUGCUACGUAAGAGCCAUGUCAAUUUCAAAUUGAUGCUUAAUUUGUUCAAUUCACGCAAGGUGGGUGGCUAGUUCGUCGCUGACAAGGUCAGUUCAACCUAAAGCUAGCGAUGGCGCAGAUCAAUGGCGGUAGCCUCGAUGAUAUCAGCUCAUGACAAUUGAACUAUUGACUUUUCUUCAGAAUGCAGAUGGGAAGAGAAGAAGACUGACCGUAUUUGAGCGGGUUGAUGGCGAAAUCGAAGAUUUGGGAGUAGUAGUCGGCGUAUCGGAUGGAUAUGGCCGGAUUCUUUCGCCGGAGGUCGUCGAGGGUUCGCCGGAGCUGUGUGUUGUGCAGCCAGGAGAGGGCGUUGUAUCUGCGGGAGCAGCCGGUCCUGGGGCCGUAGUCUUGCGGGUCGGGCGUGUGGUAGUUGGACAGGUACAAGGGGAAGCACCCCACCGGCAGCAGCCCCGGCACGAUGAUGUCCGCCGCCCCGAGCCCGAUCAACCUCUGCUUGCGACCACAUUUUUUUCAGUUAAUUCUGAGCUUCUGUGGUCUAGAUGAUUAAUUCAAAUAUAAUUACCUCGACGCCGUCGGAAAUGGCGCGGACGACGUGAGGCACGAAGGUGGUGACUUCGUCAACGGACCUUCCGAAGAAGAGAGCAGUGCUGUAGUCGUUUCCCCCGAACUCGCCCACCACGAACAGAGACUUGCCCAGGAAAUCCUUGCAGUCUGCCGCCGGCCGUCGGCGUCGUCAUGAACGUCCGUAACCAUUAAUUAACUUCAGGGAGCUAGCUCAGAGUGAACAUCAAGCUGCAGAAUGAAGCUAACGGAGCACGCACCUUGUGUGGAGCCGCAGAUGGAGGGGAGGAGCUUCUCGAAGCGGUCGACCUGGAUGUAAAUGGAGGCGUUGACCCACAGGCCCUUGCUCAGCCCUCGCUCGUUGAAGAAGUCGAAGCCGAGCACGGUGGCCGCCACCCAGGCGAAGUUCGCGCCCUUGCUGAAAUUCGACUCCCUCUCGUUCGACGGCGGCAGCAAUGGAAAUCCCAGGUCCUGGGCUGCCAAAUUCCCAACACAUAUGCUAAUUAAUUAAUUAAUCAAGAGUAGCUAUAUCGACUUUCUCGAUCGUGCUGCGUGCGUACCGAUGAAGUCGAUGACUAAGCGUCCGUCGGAGCAGCGUCCGGUGGCGCGGCCGAAGAAGGUCAUUCCGUAGGGGAGGCGGCCGAUGCGGACGUUGCCGGUGUCGGACAUCGAGUCUCCGAAGUUGAACAAGGCGUUGUACUGAUGAGACGAGGAAGGAAGGAGGAAGGCGGAGAGGAGGAGGAGGAUGAAGAAGAAGAAGAGGGCGAGAUUCUCCAUUGUCGCAGAAGAGUCUUCCUCCUCGUCGUGGCUUGGAAACGCACUGUUUUAAAACCACAAGCAAUGGCGCGAUUGGACCCGGCAAAAGCCACAUGGUGCAUCAUUUCUCGCGUCAACCACUGUUCUAUCAAUUUAAAUAUUCAUUUUUUAAAUAUCAAAUCUGAGAUGACUUAUUGUCCUAUUAAAAUUUUUCAUGGAUAAAUAAGGCAGGCACUAUUAGUAAUUAAUGGCAGGAAUAGGAUUCAAAUUUUACCUGGCCACAGUUGACUUCCA
This is a long non-coding RNA of Zingiber officinale, 1839 nucleotides long. RefSeq lists it as uncharacterized. The transcript has 2 exons. The record is from RefSeq and is a predicted model, not a curated record. Lineage: Eukaryota; Viridiplantae; Streptophyta; Magnoliopsida; Zingiberales; Zingiberaceae.